UGCUGAGGUAUAUAGGUCUAUAGUCUUGCCGAGCCAUGUAGGAUGGUUGUCGACAUACACUAAGAAAAUCUGUCGAUAGAUGCGAUAACACUUCAUACAAAGCAAUGUCAAAUGUCAGACACUUUAUAUGAAGUGGUUACCAUGUGACCGACUAAGGGUUCAUCAGAGACACACCCCAAAAAAACUUUUCCGGCCACCACGAGGUUAACUAAGCACUUUGAUCCCAUGGUAGAUUAGUCAUUAUGAAACAAGUUUCCCACUUGUUAUUGGUUGCAUGACAAUUUAAUAACUGAGCUUUUAUCUUUUUUGAACAAACGAUAUUAUUUACUUUAAGAAGAAUAGGGUGGACCAAGUCUCAUAAUCGGCUAGCAAUAAUGUGGUUCAAAUUCGCCUUUGGCGAGAAUCGAACCUAAGACCUUUCACUUAUAACUAAAGAUAAAUAUUACUAGAUCGUAGUACUAAGCAACAACUUAUUUUAAACUCUCAUGUUGUGACAUAUGUUCUUAUCAAUAUGUGAUUGUGUAAAUCCUAAGUAGAGAUAAAAUAGGAAUCCUUUGGGAUCUAGAAGAUCUUUCCUAAUAUACUUUGUAUUACUUGGAGAGCAAGUUUCUCUCCUCCUAAUUACUAUAAAUAAAGGCACAAGGACUGGGGAAUUAACACACAAUUCCUCAAGUCUAUUCUCCAAUCUCUAUUCUUCUCUUUGCCGCAUAUCUCUGUAAAAUAUAGGCCACAACACGUUAUCAGCACGCUCUUCACGCUGUGCUUAGAAGAAUUUAAAGAGAAUUUAUUCGUCUACAAUCAGAGGAGUAUUACGUUUCAAUUAUUUUUAAUUGAUUAAAUCUUGAUUUUAUUGAAUUCAUGUAUUGUUAUUGAUUCAAUUUAUUUUUCUUCUUAUGUUGAACGUGAUACAAGCUUGAAGAUGAAAGCCAAAAAUUGAAGAAAUAAUUUUUUGCAUCAAACCAAUUCAUUCAUAUCAUCACGCAAUCAGGUUCUUCCAAAACAACGGCUUUUAACUCGAUAUUUUUGAAGCCCUGAUCGCAUGAACAUUCACCAUGAUGCAUGACCCAACUUUACGUUUAACGUAUUUUAGAUUCUACAUAAAUUGUGUAUGCCUCAUAACCAAAAUUGCUGCAAUUAUGUGAAUUUGAUAUUUGCCAUGAAUUGAAUCUUACAUAUGUACAUGCAUUGAAACUAUUAUUUGGAUAUGCAUCAACGUAAAUAUGUGAUUCAUUGAAUUAUACAUGCAUAUAAUAUAAUUGAAUUGGAAAAAGAUUGGAAUUGGGAACUAGGGUUCUGUUCGAACCCGUGUCUUUGCACCAAGCCACCAUGCCCGCAAACUGCGAUGGCCCAGAACGUCCCUCAGCCAGGCCUGCAGCCUGCAUCCAAUUCCAUACCCAAAUCCGAGAGCCUGCAGCUCUCCUCUUCCCCAGAAAACCCACGGAGCCAGAAGCUCCGAGCCUCAAAAACUCAGCAAACUCGACACCCAUCGAUGGUGUCCUUGUUCUCGAUCACGACAUGGCUUGCAGCCAUUGUCUCGAAUCUUUGGUUCAUGUCGUCGAUGACUCGAAGUAGAGAUUUUUUUUCAAAUCUCCGUUCCUAUUUGAGUUUUUGUCAACCCACAGGCUUGCCUUGACCGUGGCAACGUUGUCUGACAUGGCGCCGUCGAUCAAAACCAGUGUUCUUCCCCGGCGACACACACCCAGCUCCGACUGGGAUGUUUUUUGCCUCAGACCCGAGCCCAUUAGGGUUUUUGCUGCAUUCAGUCCAACACCAGCCCUUUGGGCUUUGGUGUUUUGUUUGAAAAAUUUGCAAUCUGGGCUCCUAGAUUGCAGCCCAUUAUCACUGCCCGUAGAAAUAAAUAAAAGAAAAAAAAACAAUUUUUCUAUGGCUCGCCUGCAGCGGCCCCGUGAAAAACAAAAGUUUUUUUUUGUUUUGGCUGCCUACAGCAGCCCAGCUUUUUUCCCGUGGGCCUGCAGCCCCACCCGAGACCCUAGCCCAAUUUUGGGCCUAGGUCACACGGCACCCAUUUUAUUAAGCCACCCCGUUGAUAUUUUUUUUUUGGGCUCCCGAAUUUUAUUCGCCUAAUUAUUUUAGGCCCAAUGGGUUAUAUAUUUUUUCACCCACAUUUUAAUUUGGCCCGAAGUCCAAAUAAAUUAAUUCAAUUAUAAUUGUAAACCUAAAGUUAUAUUUUUGCACAUACUUGUUGCAUAUUUGCUUGCAUAUAUAUUUGUGUUUGCCUGCAGAUAUUAUGAACUUAAAAUUCAUACUUCCGAACCCCAAGUUUCGGAAAAGUGCCAUAUGAACCUGAAGUUUCUUAAUGCGCAACACUCAUGUUGAGACCCGAAGUUCUCCAUGCUUAAAUUCGUUUAAACCAAACCAUGUCUUAGUACCUGAAUGUUCUAAAUUUGUUGUUUAUGGAAAUUUUAUUUCCUAAAACACCAAUCACAUUCUUGUUUCCUCCAUUCAGCGUAUUGUCGAACCGUAACAAGUUCGAUUUCACUGACUUGGAAGUUUCGAAUUGUAAACUACUUUAUGUGGAUACAAGACGUGAAUAAGCAUCCGCCAUGAUCCUUAUUCGAAGAAUUAUGCCUGAAGCAUAUCCAAUGGAAGUACCUCCCUGCUGAGGACUCCAUGACUCUUCAAAUCCGUUAUGGACUGUUUCAUAUCAUGCAAAGAUGAAUUUUUGCCUGAAGCAAAACAUGAUUGAAACUGUUACGUCCAUGAAUAGGUACAAUUCUCGUAGUCCAUUUGUGAGACUCAUUUUGCUCCACCUAAUACAUUUGGAAGAGCGAAAUUUGACAUGGACGGCCUAUUGGCCGAACCCCAUUGUUUUUUUUGGUUUAUUUUGUGAAUAAUUUAUUUUGUUCUCGGAUUUAAGAUUAGUGUUUGGAUGUCACCAUUAUUCUCGAAUAAAAGAGUUAAUUAACGAAGAUUACCACAUGUGACUACAAUUAACUCAUGCUUAGGUAUGUUUUGUGGGGAAGUUAGCUGUCUGGUUCUAUGCUAACUUCAUACCUAAUCAUCCCCUGACAACCUUUCGGGCUUAUCCAACCUGAUUGUGGGGCAUGGCACUGCCCUAUAUUGUCCAAUGGUAUUAACUUUACCAUAAAGGGAAGCCUUAUACUCACUUCGUUCCGGAAGAACGCCCUUUUGAGCUUUAAGGAUAUUCGAGAGUAUUAUUACCAUAUUGAAACCAAUGUAGAAAAAUGGAGUAAAAUUCCUUGGCAUAUUACCAUUUUGCACUUCUUACGAAUAUAGUUAAAUGCAUAUUCUAGAGAAGAUGAAACGCUUAACGAAUGGAUUACAUCCAUUCAGCCCCAUUAUAUGGCCGGCCAGAAGCCCGCGAUUCCUCAGGAAUUUUCGCUAUGGAUGUACGUUUGGGAUAUCUAGGAUGAUUCGUGAUGCGCCGUUUUGGGCAUCCUUUUACCAGAAGUAAAGAAAUCAUACCUGGACACGUAUUAUACCUUAGCACCCUCCAUCUUUUUACAAAGGAUUCAAAUGGGACAUUUGUGGAUAGAUUCAACCACCCUACGGACCAUUUAAAUAUUCUAUAGUAUUGGUUGAUGCUUCUACACGUUUGUCACACGUGUGGUUGUUGUCCACAAGUUGCAUUCUCCACACUGGUAGCUCAGAUUAACAAGCUCAGGGCUCACCACCCUGAUUAUCUGAUCAAAUUUAUUUGAUUGGAUAAGUUGGAGAAUUUACAUCGACAUUUACAUCGAACAAUUUAAAUCUCGAUGGAUAUUGCAUGUCGGUUGGGUUUUUGAAAGUUGAACAUCCAGUCCCAUGUUCAUACCCAGAACGACCCAGCAGAAGUAUUCAUUAAACGCCUUCAAAUGAUUGCGUGGUCAACUGGUCAUACGUACCACAGUUCCCGACCUCUGCUUGGGGCCAUGCAAUAUUGCAAGCAACCAUGUUGGUUUGCUUGAGGCCCGUCACGACCCAACCUUAUAAAGCGCGUGUCAGUUGGUUACCAGAUACGAACCCGACAUAUCGCAUAUGCGCGUCUUUGGUUGUGCGGUCUAUGUGCCAUUUUGCGCCGCCCUUACGUACACAAAAACAAAGGGGUCCUCAGGGAAGGAUGGAAAUCUAUGUCGGUUAUGAUUCUCCUUCUAAUAUUCGUUACUAAAUAACCUUUUACAGGCGAUCUAUUUACCGCUCGUUUUACGGAUUGUCACUUUUAUGAGACAGUCUUCCCGUCGUUAGGGGGAGAUAAGAACGGCACCGUUCCUAAAGAACGACGCGAAUUAUUAUGGACGUCCCCACUAUGUCUCAUAUCGAUCCCAAUCUAGAUCGUCAGAGUUUAACCAGACACUUCUUCUGAUCUAGUAAAAGUGACGAGAUCACAUAUACCAGCUGCAAAUGUGCCUGCAAAGAUGUGUACCAAAUGUACUUCGGACCUUUGUCCUGAAAGUAGGAAAGCCACAAUUGUGGCCGACCCUCGUACAUUGACGGCUAGCCAAUCAAUCUAUCUUAUGCCAGAAGCAUGGUAGAUAACUCGGUUCGAGGAUUCACCUCCCCAAAAGAGGAGGAACGUGGCACGAAUGAAUCCGCCCCUCGAUCGCUGUCUCAGACCUUUUCAUCUCAUGAGAUUAAAUCCGGAUAACUCCCGAGACCUGAAGUUCUUGGUCCAGUAUACUAGUUUGGAUGAGAUAUGGAAUUGGAAUAAGAUUAUCAUAAAUGAUGUUUCAUUUAUAUGGUACCGACAUAAAUGAAAAGCGACGAUAACGAACCGCGUUCCGUUGAUUAAUAUCAACGUAGAACUGAUUGGUCAACUAAAAGAAUCAAUCUAUGACAAAUGAGAUGAAUGAAAUAGUGCAAUAUGACGCCUUGUGGCGCAAGGUUUCUCUCAUACGCCAUGUGAUUGAUCGCAGCAUUACAAACGUGGUUGUAGUAUCUCUGGGAUCGUGAUAUGAACCUACAUGGAGUUUUCAAAGGACUUACAUGUACUGAUUCAAAUAGUUCUAGACCACAAGAACAUCCUCUUGAUUCUCAAGCGGCCUUCACUUUACGGAUGCAGAACUAUCCGGGCAGAUGUGGUAUACCCGUCUAAGUGAAUAUUUGAUCAGUUAGGGAUAUAUGCCCCUGCGUGUAUAAAAUCCGAAAUUGCUAAAGUUGAGAAAAUUAACUCGCAUAUCGGACUAUAAGAUGAAUGAUCUUGGGAGAACUUGACAUUACCUCGACCUGAAGUUUCGAGCUAGUUGAUGAUAUUCUGGUCCACCACUCAAACUAGACCCAGAAGGUGUUACGUCUGAGUAUAUCCUGAUCAUCUGUAUGCUAGAUGCAAAUGAGACCUUUACGGAGGGUAUGGAGCAUAAGGUUCCAUAUUGGAACAUGAGGCAGCCAUAUCUAAGUACCAUUGGCGUUUGUUGUACUUAGCUCAAAUGCACUAGAUCAGACAUCUUAUGUGCUGAUAAUCUUUUGGCAUAAAGCAGCACUGCGCCUAACACGCCACCACCAAAUUUGGUGUUAAAGACGUUUUUCUGUUACUACGGAUUUGGGCUUAUUCCCUAUGCAUCUCAAAAUAGAUCACACCCCCUUGAUCUUCGGAAUGAUGCCUACCUUAUGGGAUUCGCUGAAUCAGACCAUUUGUCUGACCGCACAAGGUACGUUCCCGCAUGGUUAUAUCUUUACCAUUAAGGAACACCGCAAUAUCUUGGAGGUUAACUAGAUAGACCUUUUGUUGCGAAACCUUUGAAUCGCUCCAAGACUCACUAUGUCUCAUCACGUGAGAGAUAUGGUCGAGAAUUCUUGUUGAGCAUAUUCAAAAUCCUUGCGAUUUUCAUCCAUCGUUGAGUCCCAACAACGAUCCAUGAAUACAACGCUGUAUGUAUCGACCAGAUCAUGAUACAUCCAACAAAGUCAACACCAAGCAUAUUGUGUCUACAUCAGCAUGAGCAUCAGAAGAUUGAAGUUAAGCAGUCCAAUCCCAGACAACCUUACCGACAUCUACACAAAGUCACUACCAAAGUCUACCUUCCAGAAGCUUGUCCAAUGAAUUGGUAUGCGUAACUUUCUCAUUUGCAAUGCUUGUAGUUUCAUUUGGAAGUUUUGUCAAACUCAGGGGGAGUAUCUAGAAGUAUACUCACUUGAUCUUAAUGUACUCUUUUUCCCUACGAUUAGGAGCAUUUUUCCCACUGGGUUUUUGCUACCUAACUAGGUUUUAACGAGGCACCCAUCCUGGGCUGAUCAUACCCUUGUGAGCUCUUCUACUUGCGUCCAGAAGACGUAUAGUUUUGACUUAAUGCAACUUCUCACUUUUCUCCUUAGCCUAUGGGCUUUUCUCCCACCUUGGGUUUUGCCAUAGUAAGGUUUUGUGAGUUUUACCACUCCUGCAUUCUUCCGUCUUUUGAGACUCGCAUUCGCUACUUGUGCCGACUAAACGAGACGAUUUCAUCCACUACUUCUACAUUUGCCUGAAGAUCUGAUGCGCCAUCUACUUGAGUAUUUGCACACUCAAGUGGGAGUGUUGUGACAUAUGUUCUUAUCAAUAUGUGAUUGUGUAAAUCCUAAGUAAAGAUAAAAUAGGAAUCCUUUGGGAUCUAGAAGAUCUUUCCUAAUAUACUUUGUAUUACUUGGAGAGCAAGUUUCUCUCCUCCUAAUUACUAUAAAUAAAGGCACAAGGACUGGGGAAUUAACACACAAUUCCUCAAGUCUAUUCUCCAAUCUCUCUUCUUCUCUUUGCCGCAUAUCUCUGUAAAAUAUAGGCCACAACAUCUCACACAUUUUUCAUAAUUUUUUAUUAACAAAUUGAAUAAAUUACAACAAAAAAUACCAAUAUGAUGAAAUUGUUGCAGUCCUAUAGAUUAGGAAUGUGAUUGUGUAAAUCUUAAUAUAUCUAUGAUAUCCUUAUGAGAUUCUACCAUAUCUAUUAAACUAGAUAUUAUCCUAUUAUAGUUGUAAUUCUAUUGGGGUAAGGAAUUUAUCUUCUCCACUACUAUAAAUAAAGGCACAACGAAGUGGAAUAACACAUAUCUCACAAUUACACAUCUCUUUUUCUCUUUAUUGCCGUCGCACCCCCUAUCUCUGUCCUUAUUAUAGUUAAGUAAAUUAGGCCUAUAACACGUUAUCAGCAUGCUCUGACCCUGCGCUAAAGAGAGUUUGUUUUUCAAUCAAUGGAGUAUUACAUUUUAAUCAUUCUUUUUAUGAUUAAUUUAUUAUUUUAUUGAAUUGAUCUACAUGCUAUUGAUUCAAUUUAAUUUUUCUUUGUUAAAUGUGUGCAAUUCUGGCUUUCAGAGAAUGAUCUUCUACAAAUUCAAGGGCUCAAUUGUUUUCUGUCAAUCAGGUUCUUUUAAAAUAAAUUAAGAUAUUUGAAACGACCAUAAAGCAUGGAAACAUUCCCCAUAAUGCAUGAACCCCUUACAUUUACAUUUACGUUCCGAUAUAUAUAUAUAUAUAUAUCAUAUAUCAUAUAUGUUUUAUAUAUUUGUCAAUAUACAUAUAAAUUUUAUGCAUUAUGCAAUUUUUUCUAUGUGAAAUUUAUAAGUCAAAGAAUCGAAAGAAAUUAGAAACAAUUAGGAUUUUUCAAACCUGAAAGUCGAAAAAAAAAUAAGGGGUUUUUGAACAUUAAUCCUUGCAAAAGAUUAAAAUUUAAAAAAAAACCUGGUGCUAGAUUAAAUAUUCAAUUUAAUCCUUUGAGUGUACUUUUAUCAAAAUUUACAUUCAAUUUUUGUUAUUUAAUGUGUAUUUUUAUUUAAUCUCUCCAUAUUAAAUUUUAAUUUUAUUAAUAUGCACAUAUUUAGUUUUUUUUUUAAUUAGAAAUGAAUGUAAAUGAGAAAAUAUUAAAAAAAUGAUACAAAAAUAUAUAAAUACAUAAGUGUUCAGAAAUGAUUGUGCCAAAAUAUAUAAAAUUGACUUUUUUGU
Molecule: long non-coding RNA, 7863 nt
Filed under: Malus domestica (apple)
Lineage: Eukaryota; Viridiplantae; Streptophyta; Magnoliopsida; Rosales; Rosaceae
Description: long non-coding RNA (MDOM_LNC005000)
Source: RNAcentral